RNAcentral lists this long non-coding RNA (1858 nucleotides) under Homo sapiens (human). RNAcentral describes it as "HSALNT0214066". Lineage: Eukaryota; Metazoa; Chordata; Mammalia; Primates; Hominidae. The record is from RNAcentral.
AGGGCUGUUUCACCUUGGGAGACACGCCAUGGAAUGAUGAAUACAAUAUGAAUAAUCCACCAGACGCUGGGGCACCAUGCUGUUGGAUUUCCCAACAUUCAGAACUGAGAGACUCGUUUUGCUUAUGGGCUAAGGGAAAACUUCCCAUGGAGAGAAAGGGAUUGAAGAUACAGAAAAAAGAGAAUCAUUAAUGGAGGAAGUUUCCAGAAAAGCCUGAAGAUCUUGUAAAUCUAUACCCUAAGUGAAAGGAUUCGCUUUGGAGGGAAGCAACGUCAUUUUCAUCCUUGGAUAUCUAAUGGGUGGAGAUUACUCAAAAAAAUGGCUCUGAAAUAGAUCGUUUUCAACAAUGGCCACAACAAUUUCUAUCAUCAUCGUUGGUGCAUUCCUUUGCAAUGUGACUCUAUUGCCUUUGCCAUUCAGAAGCAGAGUUGUUUUCUUUUUUUCCCCCUCUUCAAUUUGGUCUGAACUUGUAACUUGUUUUGAUGAAUAGAACUCUACAGAUAUGGUAUGACUUCUUUUGAUUUUUUAUUUUUUUUGAGAUGGAGUCUCACUCUGGUCCAGACUGGAGUGCAGUGGCACGAUCUCGGCUCACUGCAAUCUCUGCCUCCCAGGUUCAAGUGAUUCUUCUGCCUCAGCCUGUAGCUGGGACUACAGGCACGCACCACCACGCCCGGAUAAUUUUUGUAUUUUCAGUAGAGACGGGGUUUCACCAUGUUGGUCAGGCUGGUCUCGAACUCCUGACCUCAUGAUCCACCCACCUCGGCCUCCCAAAGUGCUGGGAUUACAAGUGUGAGCCACCAUGCCUGGCCAGAUAUGGUGUGACUUCUGAGCCUCAGCCUCAUGAAGCCUUGUAGCUUCUGCUCUCACUGCCUUGCUGCCCUGGUCCUGCUAUGUGUAGAAGCCAAGCCUAGUCUUGAGGAUGGGAAAUGAUGUGGGGUGAGAGGCCCCACCCAUGGCCAGCACCAACAUCACACAUGUGAGCAAGGCCAUCUUGGAUCAUCUCAUACCAGUCAAGCUUCUUGAUGGCUGCCAGUACAUGAAGAAUCCCAGAUGAAAAAACUGGGAAUCAGAGAAGUUAAGAAAUAAGCUCAAGAUCACCUAUAUAGUAAACGGCAAAAUCAGGAUCUGAACCUGCUGAUUCCAGAGCUCAUGGAGAGUUCCAGUGGGCAACUUGGGAAAAGGAGGAAGCAUGAGAGAGGAGAUGAUCAGCUUGCUACACUAAAAGCCGCUUCAGCAAACUGCUGUGUACUCUACUGGAUAUUAACAGAUAGAGAGGUAUAUGGAGACAACCUUUUGAAUGAGGGUUUUAUGAUCUGCUUGGAAGUGAAGGAUGAGGGGAAGUUACCAGCUCAUAAAGUUCCUGAAGAUGGAUAAUUUUUUCUCAUGAGCUUCCAGGAGCUGGUGUCAGCACACCACUGUUUGUCUGAUGAGUGAGUAACACUUCCUGGAGAAGGUGAAACCUCAAGUGAGUCUUAACAGGUAAGUAGGAAUCAGCUGCUCGAUGGUCUUGUGGAUGGAAAAGAAGAUAAACGCUAAAGCAAAGUGGCUAGAUAACGGCGAGGGAAAGGCAAUGUGUGGAUGGAAAUAUAAGCAGGUUUGUAUUUGCUGAGAUGAAAUUCUCAGAAAGCAAAGGCGUGAUAAAAAAAAGAUCCUGCAAACUGCAUCAAGGAACUUAGAAUUUAUCCUAUAGGCCAUGAGGAGCUGUUGGAGGAUUUAAAGCAGGAGAGUGAAUUAUUUAGAUUUAUGGCUGAAGCAUGAUCUUCUGGCCAAGCCUUGUAGAAUGAACAUGAGAAGGAGCAAGACUUAAGACACAAAAACCAGUUGGGAAGCUGUUGCAGUGCUUUAGAGAAGUGAUGAU